This is a non-coding RNA of Vicia faba (fava bean), 321 nucleotides long. The record is from the annotation of a GenBank genome assembly. Lineage: Eukaryota; Viridiplantae; Streptophyta; Magnoliopsida; Fabales; Fabaceae.
AUGAUGGAACGACGGCGACGGUUAUCGGCGAGGGAAAGAGUGGAUCUUAAGGAGAGCGGGGGUUUGUUGAGUAGCAGCACAAAAUACGAUUACGGUUUCGUUUCGCUCCUAAAUUCAUGCUUGUGUAUGUAUUUUACCAUUCGUGACAGUAGGCGGAGGAAAAUCGUCGAAGAACGGGUCGUGACAGUCGAAAAUGGGUCGGCGAAAAUGGGAGGGAUGAAGCGGCGGUCGGCGAAAAUGGGUCGGAAAAUGGCAAAUGAACAGUUUUCUGGAAUAAAAGAAAAUUCUGUUUAUAACUUUUUACAUCGGUGGAAUAUUUGA